GGUUAAGUGACUAAGCGUACACGGUGGAUGCCUUGGCAGUCAGAGGCGAUGAAAGACGUAGUAACUUGCGAUAAGCCCAGAUUAGGUAGUAACAACCAUUUGAGUCUGGGAUUUCUGAAUGGGGAAACCCACUUACAUAAGUAAGUAUCAUUAACUGAAUACAUAGGUUAAUGAGGCGAACCGGGGGAACUGAAACAUCUAAGUACCCCGAGGAAAAGAAAUCAACCGAGAUUCCGAAAGUAGCGGCGAGCGAAAUUGGACUAGCCCUUAAGCUUUACACGCGUUAGACGAACGGUCUGGAAAGUCCGACGAUACAGGGUGAUAGUCCCGUAGUUGACGACGUGUGUUCAGUGAAAUCGAGUAGGGCGGGACACGUGAUAUCCUGUCUGAAUAUGGGGGGACCAUCCUCCAAGGCUAAAUACUACUGACUGACCGAUAGUGAACCAGUACCGUGAGGGAAAGGCGAAAAGAACCCCUGUGAGGGGAGUGAAAUAGAACCUGAAACCGUGUACGUACAAGCAGUAGGAGCAGGCUUUGUCCUGUGACUGCGUACCUUUUGUAUAAUGGGUCAGCGACUUAUAUUCAGUGGCAAGGUUAACCAUCUAGGGGAGCCGUAGGGAAACCGAGUCUUAACUGGGCGUUCAGUCUCUGGAUAUAGACCCGAAACCAGGUGAUCUAGCCAUGGGCAGGUUGAAGGUUGAGUAACAUCAACUGGAGGACCGAACCGACUAAUGUUGAAAAAUUAGCGGAUGACUUGUGGCUAGGGGUGAAAGGCCAAUCAAACCUGGAGAUAGCUGGUUCUCCCCGAAAGCUAUUUAGGUAGCGCCUCGGACGAAUACUACUGGGGGUAGAGCACUGUUAAGGCUAGGGGGUCAUCCCGACUUACCAACCCUUUGCAAACUCCGAAUACCAGUAAGUACUAUCCGGGAGACACACGGCGGGUGCUAACGUCCGUCGUGGAGAGGGAAACAACCCAGACCGCCAGCUAAGGUCCCAAAUUACUACUAAGUGGGAAACGAUGUGGGAAGGCUCAGACAGCCAGGAUGUUGGCUUAGAAGCAGCCAUCAUUUAAAGAAAGCGUAAUAGCUCACUGGUCGAGUCGGCCUGCGCGGAAGAUGUAACGGGGCUAAGUAGUAAACCGAAGCUGCGGCAAUAUACUUUUGUAUAUUGGGUAGGGGAGCGUUCUGUAAGCGGUUGAAGGUGUGUGGUAACGCAUGCUGGACGUAUCAGAAGUGCGAAUGCUGACAUGAGUAACGAUAAAGGGGGUGAAAAACCUCCUCGCCGGAAGACCAAGGGUUCCUGUCCAACGUUAAUCGGGGCAGGGUAAGUCGACCCCUAAGGCGAGGCCGAAAGGCGUAGUCGAUGGGAAACGGGUUAAUAUUCCCGUACUUCUUACAAUUGCGAUGGGGGGACGGAGAAGGCUAGGUGGGCCUGGCGACGGUUGUCCAGGUUCAAGUGCGUAGGCUUAAGAGUUAGGUAAAUCCGGCUCUUUUUAAGGCUGAGACACGACGUCGAGCACCUACGGGUGUGAAGUCAUUGAUGCCAUGCUUCCAGGAAAAGCCUCUAAGCUUCAGAUUGUAAGGAAUCGUACCCCAAACCGACACAGGUGGUCGGGUAGAGAAUACCAAGGCGCUUGAGAGAACUCGGGUGAAGGAACUAGGCAAAAUGGUACCGUAACUUCGGGAGAAGGUACGCUCUUGAUGGUGAAGUCCCUCGCGGAUGGAGCUGACGAGAGUCGCAGAUACCAGGUGGCUGCAACUGUUUAUUAAAAACACAGCACUGUGCAAAAUCGUAAGAUGACGUAUACGGUGUGACGCCUGCCCGGUGCCGGAAGGUUAAUUGAUGGGGUUAGACUUCGGUCGAAGCUCUUGAUCGAAGCCCCGGUAAACGGCGGCCGUAACUAUAACGGUCCUAAGGUAGCGAAAUUCCUUGUCGGGUAAGUUCCGACCUGCACGAAUGGCGUAAUGAUGGCCACGCUGUCUCCACCCGAGACUCAGUGAAAUUGAAAUCGCUGUGAAGAUGCAGUGUACCCGCGGCUAGACGGAAAGACCCCGUGAACCUUUACUACAGCUUGGCACUGAACAUUGACCCUACAUGUGUAGGAUAGGUGGGAGGCUUUGAAGCACGUACGCCAGUAUGUGUGGAGCCGUCCUUGAAAUACCACCCUUGUAGUGUUGAUGUUCUAACGUCGACCCCUUAUCGGGGUUGCGGACAGUGCCUGGUGGGUAGUUUGACUGGGGCGGUCUCCUCCCAAAGAGUAACGGAGGAGCACGAAGGUGGGCUAAUCACGGUUGGACAUCGUGAGGUUAGUGCAAUGGCAUAAGCCCGCUUGACUGCGAGAAUGACAAUUCGAGCAGGUGCGAAAGCAGGUCAUAGUGAUCCGGUGGUUCUGAAUGGAAGGGCCAUCGCUCAACGGAUAAAAGGUACUCCGGGGAUAACAGGCUGAUACCGCCCAAGAGUUCAUAUCGACGGCGGUGUUUGGCACCUCGAUGUCGGCUCAUCACAUCCUGGGGCUGAAGUCGGUCCCAAGGGUAUGGCUGUUCGCCAUUUAAAGUGGUACGCGAGCUGGGUUUAGAACGUCGUGAGACAGUUCGGUCCCUAUCUGCCGUGGGCGUUGGAAGAUUGAAGGGGGCUGCUCCUAGUACGAGAGGACCGGAGUGGACGAACCUCUGGUGUUCGGGUUGUGUCGCCAGACGCAUUGCCCGGUAGCUAAGUUCGGAAUCGAUAACCGCUGAAAGCAUCUAAGCGGGAAGCGAGCCCUGAGAUGAGUCUUCCCUGAUACUUUAAGUAUCCUAAAGGGUUGUCGGAGACUACGACGUUGAUAGGUCAGGUGUGUAAGUGCUGUGAGGCAUUGAGCUAACUGAUACUAAUUGCCCGUGAGGCUUAACCAU
Molecule: ribosomal RNA, 2891 nt
Filed under: Vibrio parahaemolyticus
Lineage: Bacteria; Pseudomonadati; Pseudomonadota; Gammaproteobacteria; Vibrionales; Vibrionaceae
Description: 23S ribosomal RNA
Rfam family: Bacterial large subunit ribosomal RNA
Source: RNAcentral